This 253-nucleotide ribosomal RNA is filed under the name uncultured bacterium. RNAcentral describes it as "partial 16S ribosomal RNA". It matches the Rfam family "Bacterial small subunit ribosomal RNA", at positions 524 to 776 of the family's 1533-position model. The record is from RNAcentral.
UACAGAGGUGCCGAGCGUUAGGCGGAAUCACUGGGCUUAAAGCGUGUGUAGGCGGAUGCCUAAGUACCUUGUGAAAUCCCAUGGCUCAACCAUGGAACUGCUUGGUAUACUGGGUGUCUUGAGCUAUCUAGGGGCAACUGGAACAAACGGUGGAGCGGUGAAAUGCGUAGAUAUCGUUUGGAACGCCAAUGGUGAAAACAGGUUGCUGGGGAUAUGCUGACGCUGAGACACGAAAGCCAGGGGAGCAAACGGG